GACAAAUGACUGAAUCCAAAGCACGGAGGCCAAAGGAUUUCUCCCCAUCUGAAUACCUUUGGGAUGUUUCUAUCAGGCCUGAUAUUCAGUAGUUUCUUUCGUCCACACCUGUCAGCUUGGAAAAAAGAUGAACUCUCAGACUGAGCUCUGGUGUGUCGACUGGGUCCCUUUUCUGCCUCCAGUUUGCUCCUCGUCCGGCUCACACUUUUUCUUUGGGGGAGAAGGAGAUAGACGCCUACCUGAGGUGGAAAAGGCUGCCCUGGUCACCGAGUGGGACUGUGGGCACGGAGGCUGCUCCUCACUAGGCUAUUGCUUCCCAGGUGAAACAACAAACAAGCCAGUUCCUUCAGAGCUACGUGUGGAAAAGAACAAAUAGAAAACCCAGUGAUGAGUUCUGAAUAAGGCUGUGAGGAACGAACGGUCAUCAGUCCCUAUGGUCUCAAGGAACGCUUAAGGAAAGGGAGUUGUUUAAACACUUAAAAACGGAAAAGAAACACAAAGCUCUUCCAUUUCGUGUGGCAAAACCAGCUCAGAAGUAUGUGACAAUCCAGGCAAAGCAUUUCAAUUUCCAGCCAGUCCAGUCAUGAUUCUCUGGCAAACUGCACAGUCAUGGUUAUGAUGCACUGGGAUGAGAGGUGCUAUAUAAAUGUCAGAUGUUACAUAAAUGUCAGGAAUGAUGAGUGUUUGUUAACGGGGGCUAAACUGUUCCUAAGCAAAGCUCCAGCUCCCAGCCAACAUGUCCUUAGCAGAGGUUCUAACCACCAAAAACCCGUGAGAAGGGAAUGCUCACCCCAGGUUGUAGAAAGGAGCCCAGCUGGGAUUUGGGGUUUGAAAACAGGAGUGGGGAUGGUGCCA
This 855-nucleotide long non-coding RNA is filed under the name Equus caballus (horse). Its description in RNAcentral is "lncRNA (ENSECAG00000056297.1)". The record is from RNAcentral. Lineage: Eukaryota; Metazoa; Chordata; Mammalia; Perissodactyla; Equidae.